Molecule: long non-coding RNA, 253 nt
Filed under: Homo sapiens (human)
Lineage: Eukaryota; Metazoa; Chordata; Mammalia; Primates; Hominidae
Description: family with sequence similarity 106 member A
Source: RNAcentral
AGCUGUUGCAACAGCAGAACUAGAAUUCGACCUCCGACAUUUCUGCUCACCAGAGGGCAUGAACUGCUGGUUGUAGAUGAGCAUGAGAGUGUGGAGCAGAGUUGGCGAGUGCAAGUCGAGCCCAUCAACCUGGACAGCUGUCUCCGUGCUUUCACCAGUGAGGAAGAGCUAGGGGAAGAUGAGAUAUACUACUGUUCCAAGUGUAAGACCCACUGCUUUAGCAACAAAGAAGCUGGAUCUCUGGAGGCUUCCA